UCCCUGACUCAGCAUUUUAAAAUCAUUUAUUUAUUUAUUUUUAAGACAGACAAGAAGAACACAGGAGGAGCAGGGAGAGAAGGAGAAAGAAAAUCUCAAGCAGACUCCAUACUGUCAGUGCAGAUCCCCAUGUGGGGUUUGAUCGCAUGAACCGUGAGAUCACGACCUGAGCCAAGAUCAAAAGUCAGACACUCAACCGACUGAGUCACCCAGCCCCAAGCCACCCUGAAAUCGCCGAGUGUGUCGCCUGGCUCCACUCCUCUUCUGGGCCCCCUCCGCCAACCCCCAAGUGACCUGAUGGUGGUCCGAAGUCCCCUCUGAGUAACCCUGCCCCCAGCACUUCCCACCUGAGCUUUCACACCGGAUGGCCUCACAGCACUUGUAGGAGGGAGGCGCACUGUACUAGAGCAAGAUUCAGGAUGCCUCAAGCUGACACUUGACUCCGGUGGCUUCCACGGUCAUUCUCGGAGGGCAGCAGUCACAUCCCCUUCAUCUCUGGGAUCCCUUGAACACCAGCAGAGGGUCUGAUACAAAAUAGGAGCCGAUGAAUAUCCAAUCAGCAGAGUUUAUUGAGGAUCUACUACACACCAGGAAUAUUCUUUCAUGGGUAUGGUUUCUACCAGUUACAACCUCCCGGGAUGGGCACGAGUGCUUUCGCUUUACAGAUGAGGACAGUGAGACCCAGAGAGGUUAGACGACUUGCCCAAGAUCACACAGCCAGUGCAGAACCAGCUUUAUUCCAGGUCUGCCUGGGCUCUAAAGCUCCUCUUCUUUCCAGGCCUCCUGGUUCCCCAACAGGGUGUGUGGGCCGGGAGGGAGGUGGCUGCAGUUCAGGGGU
Long non-coding RNA from Panthera uncia (snow leopard), 838 nucleotides. RefSeq lists it as uncharacterized. The transcript is spliced from 3 exons. The record is from RefSeq and is a predicted model, not a curated record. NCBI's taxonomy places the organism in Eukaryota, Metazoa, Chordata, Mammalia, Carnivora, Felidae.